Panicum virgatum (switchgrass) is the source of this 1682-nucleotide long non-coding RNA. RefSeq lists it as uncharacterized. Lineage: Eukaryota; Viridiplantae; Streptophyta; Magnoliopsida; Poales; Poaceae. The record is from RefSeq and is a predicted model, not a curated record. The transcript has 5 exons.
UCAAGGAGGGAGAUGUGGUCACUUUGGAGUUGUCAAGGAUCAGUGCAGGUAGCCAUCUCGGCUGGGGCUCAAGCGGCAUGGUGCGAAUUGAUUGCUGAACAAUGUCAUGAUCGACCAACCAAAGGCGACACACUACUUCAAAUUUCGAUGGGACCUUGGUGGUUGCGGCUUGAGGGCAAGCCACAUUUCAAGCGGUGGGGAAUGUCACGAACAGGGCCUCUCAGGAGUGGCUGCUAGGUGGGGCCAGGUAGGGGAACGGCAAAAGAUACAAAAGCAGAGGACCAUGACGGGAAUGGCAUCGAACAACAGAACGAGUGAUGAUGCAAUGAUAUCGUUUGAUGCUACAAAUCCAUUAUAUGAGAGUUUCUUUCGAUCGUGCAAAUAGAAUCUUGUUAGUAAUGGGAGCAAUGGUUCAAGCUUAAUAUCAGGGGUGGUUACUUUAAUUUCCUACAGCAUCCACAUUUUCCAUUGCCACCACAGCUUGGUGAAAAUUUCCAUUUUGUUGGGCUUUCAAACAACCUGCAGCCACCUUCUCCAGCACCUCCACCACAUGGCACAACGAUUCAGACAGAGAAGAACAGCAUUGAAAUUGAUGAUGAUAGUGGUGUUGCAGCAAGUAGGCCUGUCAAGAAAAGAUAUUGGACACAUGAGGAGGAAGUGAGAUUGGCAACUGCUUGGCUAAACACUUCUAAGGACCCUAUACAUGGUAAUGACAAGAAAGGUGAUUCAUUUUGGGGUCAAGUCACAGAAUAAUUUAACAAGAACUGCGUACCAGAUCGUAUUAGGGACACUAACCAACUGAAGAUACACUGGUCAUGCCUUAGCAAAACAAUAAAUGAAUUCAACAGCUUUUGGACCACAGUGUCUAAUAUGAAUAAGAGUGGAUACUCUGAUGACCAACUAAUGGAUGAAGCACAACAGCGGUUUGAAAAAAAGAAUGGAAAGCCAUUCACAUUGGUUCAUUGGUGGAAGAUACUAAAAAAAUGAACCAAAAUAGCGGGCACAUGUUGGUCAGUCUGAAAGAGAAAAACAACAUGUUGAUACUGUUGAUGACAAGGAAGAACGUCCUACCGGGAGAGAAUCGGCAAAGACAGAGCGCAAAGGGAAGCGGAAGGCGGAACAAGUUAUGGAUGGCAUUGUCCUCCUUGGAGAUAACAUCAACAAAAUAGUUGAAGUUACGGAAGAGCGUAAGAAGGAGCGUGAAAAGGUAACAGAGGCGCAGCUUGAGAUCUCAAGACUUAACCUGCAGGCUGCACAGACGCAAAAGGAAGCAAAGUUGAUCGAAGCUUACAAUAAUUUGCUGGUUCGAGACACAAGCCAUAUGUCCGAAGAAGCAAAGACUAGCCAUGAGAAGACAUUGCAGAAGAUGGAGAAGAAGCUAUUUGGUACAGAUGAUUAAACAUGAGGGAAUGUGGCUGGAGAGAGGAAGAUGUUGGCUUUGCUGCCUUUAUCAGGGUGGAGAAACCGAUCCAUGUUUUGUUGGAUUGAUACUAUUUUGAUACUAUUAUGAAUUAAAUAUUGCUGCCUUUAUCAGGGUGGAGAAACCGAUCCAUGUUUUGUUGGUUUGAUCAUUUAUCUAUGUUUGCUUGUAACUGCUGUGAUGGGCAACGUGAAACUGAUCCAUAUAUGUGUGAAUGCUGGUGGAUUAUAAUGUGAAAUUGAACCACACUAGCAAUGUGAAA